Molecule: regulatory RNA element, 46 nt
Organism: Felis catus (domestic cat)
Lineage: Eukaryota; Metazoa; Chordata; Mammalia; Carnivora; Felidae
Rfam family: Histone 3' UTR stem-loop
About the family: The mRNAs of metazoan histone genes lack a poly-A tail. 3' end processing occurs at a site between a highly conserved stem-loop (modelled by this family) and a purine rich region around 20 nts downstream (the histone downstream element, or HDE).
Source: Rfam
CCAAAGGCUCUUUUCAGAGCCACCCCCGUAUUCAUGAAAAGGGCUU